CCGUCACCCAUCUCUGAGCAGGCGCUGACAGUAAGCAAAGUGACAGGCAUAUCUUCUGCAUGUUAAUCAAAACGGCGAGAAGGCAAGUGAGCAGUGCCAGCCCCCCCACACAACCACCCCCGGCCUGUACACCCCACCCUUGGCACCCAUCAGCCUUGUGCAGGGCUGGUGAGGGCCCCGGGUGUGCCAAAGCUCCCUUCGGCAUGUUUAAAUCAAAACAAACAGCCGAGCCACCCCAGUCGGCGGGCAAAUGAGGCCACUCAGCUUCCGCAGUACCUGUUCCCGCUGUCUUCAUCUUGCCUUGGACGUGUGACAAGAGCCAACAAGCCUCUGGUGGGCUUUCCGAGCUGCGGGUCUGUAACCCUUUGCAGGAAGUUGGCACCGAUCCCAGUUUUUGGAGACAACCUGUGUAUUGUCAAGGCCCAGGCAGCUCUGGAGAUGCAGCCAAGGUCUUGGGGCCAGGCACAGCACAUAUGUUCAACAGAAGAUCUGCUGACUUAAAAGACUUGAUACAUGACAGCAAUAGGCAGGACAAAGAAAUCAAAGCUGUCUGGUCCCAGGGAUUGUCUGCUUUGCAUUCAGCCUUUGUAACAACAACAACAAAAAAUAAUAAAAAUCCCUUAUCUAACUCAAAGUAAAGUCUUAAGAAGAAUUCUGAACUACCACUGAUAAAACAGAGGCUUAUGCAACUCCAGAAACAGAGGGCUGGUCCAGGAUUGUGCCAUGCCAGGCUUGUAAAGCCCUACCCAUUUGUUGAUACAGAAUCAGAUCACUUGUUCCAUUUGCAAUAAGGAUCAUACUCCUCUCUAGCCCCAGUCAUCCAAGUAAUGAUGAAUGUUGGGUUUGUGCUUAAAGGAUGGCUGGAGACCAGGGGUCUGAGAGCUGCAGAAGGGGACCAAGAAGAAAUUAAUUUGCACUACAUCUCUCACGCCUGAUGAGAUGUCCAAGGACAUUUGGAUGAGGAACAAAUUCUUAGAAGACAGCCAGUCAUUAAAAAGCUCAGAGUAGAAGACCGAUGAGGAAGCCUGUAUGAUGUACAGCGAUGUGACAGCAAUGUGACCUACUUGCUUCAUGCAACCCAGCAGGAGAAACCCCAGUGUGGGGAGGGGUAGGACAAACCAUCUUUGAACUGACCAGGUGCAGCAAUUUCAGUGCCCAUUUCAGAGUCCAUAGAACAUCAUUCUGGUCUGCUGGCUGCAGGAGACUGCUAAGAUAUCAGGAGAAUUAAGAAGUCCACUCAUUGAAAUGUCUUUUUCUCCAGCUGGUCAUGCACCCAGAAUGAGAAUGUGCCAAUAUUAUGCUAUGGCUGUGUAGAGGUUGUCAGACCAUGAGAAAUAAGUGCUCCUCAAUGAUUUUAAGGGAAUGGAUGUGUUUGGAUUUCACUAGAAGUGCUGAGAGCAGAACAGCAACAGCUUGGUCUUAUAGAUGUAGUUUGUGUUCCUCUGACUGUAGCGUGAUUACCUAGCUGAGUUGUAGAGCAUGUAUAAAUUCAGAGCCCUCCUGAGACAUUCUGGGUUAUGUUAAAGCCUUUCUUGUUAACUGUUAAGUUUAAUUAGGCUACCAAGUGUUUAUUUUAUACAGAGGAAGAGAACACUGCUGGCUCUUUUCACAGACUGUUUUCUAGGGAGUUGGAGGAAAGGGGAGCUCAGCAAGAGCACAUGGAACAUCCUGGAGGAAGCUGUAUUUAAUGGAGAUCUGGGGCUGCAGAUCCUGAAGAAUAGCUGUAGAGCACAAAAGAUAUGGUGACACCUGAUUGGCAAGGUCUCUACAGACCUCUGGCCCUUUCCCCUUGGGGAAGAACAGAGUGAGACCCCCUGUGACUGCUCAUCCUUUCCUGAUGCAUUUAUAUUUAAUCUGGAAGCCCAGAUUUUGUGAUUCCAAAGCCAGAUAUUUCAGGCCUGAAAGCCUCUCCUGAAAUUUUGGAGCUGCCUUUACUAUUAUUGACAUAAUAAAGCAAGUUACCUCUCCACUGGGAACAGAGGCAGCAGGUAGUUCUGCUUUAUACAGAUGUGAGAAAAAGUCAAGAAGUGUUAAUAAAGGGUUUAAGAAAA
This is a long non-coding RNA of Oxyura jamaicensis (ruddy duck), 2051 nucleotides long. RefSeq lists it as uncharacterized. The transcript is spliced from 2 exons. The record is from RefSeq and is a predicted model, not a curated record. Lineage: Eukaryota; Metazoa; Chordata; Aves; Anseriformes; Anatidae.